Long non-coding RNA from Pan troglodytes (chimpanzee), 730 nucleotides. RefSeq lists it as uncharacterized. The record is from RefSeq and is a predicted model, not a curated record. Lineage: Eukaryota; Metazoa; Chordata; Mammalia; Primates; Hominidae. The transcript is spliced from 6 exons.
ACAGGUUUGUUAUGUAACCGCCGGGCCAGCCCCGCCCUCAGGGUGGGCUGAGGUGCGGCUCCCUGGAGACCCCGCCAGCUAGCCGGGAGCCAGCAGCGCAGUGCGAGUUCAGCCCGCUUUCUUCGCGCUCCGCGUCAAAUCUCUCCAGCUCUGUUCUCGCAUCCCGGGUUUAGAUCCCGCAGAGUUAAGUAUCCCGCGUGUGAAGGGAUGAACUGAGACUCCCAGAGGGCAUAACUGAUGGAGGCACGAAGAUGUCUGCUCUUCAGCUUUGCCAAGAUGGGCCACCUGUUUUAAAUCCAAAAGCUGGUAGGAGUUUCAGGUACACUGCAUUUGCUUCUGCUGUCCUAUUGCACUUGGACUUGGUGCAGCUAUGACCUAAUGCAGAAGACAAAGUAUGAAGCUACCAAACUGUCAGGGCCAGAACUAAGCCUGUAUAAUUGAUAGGAACCUUCUGGGUGCAUGGAAUGAGCCUCUAAACAUGGCCACAGCUCAGUGAUACUGACCAACCAAACAUCCCUUUGCUGGACCUAUGCAAACAUGAAACAGCCUUUUCACAUUCAGUUAAGAUUUCAUGAAGAGUUGUAAGAGAAAAGCUUUUCCAGACCCAGCCAUGAGUACUCUGCUUUACUCAGAAGAACCACAAACUUUGAACAGCUUGAUAAUCUAGCAUUUCUGAAACUUUUCUUUGCAUGUGUGUCACUGAGGUAUCUUAUUAAAGCACAUAUUCUAA